AUGACACGAGAGGAUGAUGUGGUGGCCUUAAUAGCAGCAGGAAGACUCAGCAACACAUCAUGGAGCUGUCUGAGGGACAGAGCACACACUGAGAUGCCUUUGUCCCAGCACUGCCUUGUGAUGCCCCUGCAGACAAACCUGACCAAGCCACUUAAAGCUACCUGUGAUGGAACUUGGCCUUUGUGUCGAGCUCAUAGCACCUUUGCCUUCCUUCUGCAUGAGCAAACAGCCCUUGAGCAAUUUCAAACCGUGCAAGUGAGAGCAGCAAGUGCAGCUGGACCCUGAGCGCCACAGCCAGUUUCAAGGAUGCUUGUGGAAAGAGCAGUUAGAAAUGUCAGUGGUAAGUACAUUCAAGAGGUCGUUCCUUCUGUAGAUUUGAGGACUCCAGAGUCAACGGGUGACAGACUGGAUCAUGGAAGAUGGUGCUGCCACAUCCACAUGCAGGAGUACCCUGACACAAACUCCAGGUCUAUGACCUUCUUAGAUCAGUUGUACCACUUACUUUUUUGCUUAGAAAUAACCACAUAUCAAUUAAUUAUCCAUCCCUUUUGGCAAAGGAAUUUUAGUUUCUAGAGUUUUCGAGGAUGGGUCAAGAUAACUGUUUUCAACCUAAAAUCUGGACCAUUUUGGUUAACGAUGUGACCACCAAGAACUUCUAUUUCCUGAAGCUUUGUCAUUAGUUCUCAUCAGAUAUAUUGAAAAAAAUCUGACAAGUGAAUAGACCUGGUGAACUCCGUUGCCAAAGAACAUGAGACAUUUCAACUAAACUGAAUCAGAUUAGAACUUCAAGUGACUGUUCUGUAGUAUUUUUUUUCUGUGUUCAUGCAAUGGUAUUAUCCACGGAGUAAGGAACUGAGUGAUUUUUGCAGAACUCAAACAUGCUUUCAUGUCUUGAGUGGAAAUUUAUCUGGUAUUUAUCUGCUUUUUUGGUUGAUAUUCUGUGAUAUCUGUGCCAUCCCGUGAGAGCCAAAUGCCAGUAAUGUUUUGCAACCAAUGUGAUGAAAUGAAGUGCAGGUAGUUUCAACACGAAGGAUCUUCCUCUGUUUGCAAUCUCAGAUGCCUCAUAGCUUUGGCCUCCCCAGGGGGUUGAUAGGAUGCUCCCUGGCAGGCUUCAUGCUUUGAGAUAUGGGAUCCACAUGAUCUGUUUUGUCCCCAGGUGCUGUGUGGAGUGUUUCUGGCUGGCAGUUGUUGGCCAGUGUUUCGUUUUGGCUCCUCUUUAUCCGUGACGUGUUCUCUGGCACAAUUCCUGUGGCAUGUGGAGCUGGGUCUCUUUCCUUGUAUAUUUCUGAAGUAAACAAUUUGGCUGAAUGUUUGAAUACUUCUAACUAGCAAUAGCACCAAACCAUAUGUGCUGCAGGGACUUGAAGCCAGCGCUUCUCUUCCAGAAACUGUUAUUAGUUCGUUUUCUGUGUUUGAUUUGCCAUUGUGAAUGUUACGCACAAUGAUUGAAGGCACUUUCUAAUUACUCUCUUAUUGUGCAUUGAAUUGGCAGGGUCAAGGAGGUUGUUUAGAAUCGAAUUAUAACCUUUGGGGGACUUGGCAUAGGGUCUCCUGCCUUUUGCUUUAUUCUGUGAUGUUGCAUAGGAUUUCAUAUUAUGAUAAAAUCCCAUUGAAAUAAUGGAGGGUUCUGAAAAUGAAGGCAUCUGGAAAUCUGUCUAUUGCUACGGCAGAACUUGGAUGUAACCUUCACAUCGUUGGAUCUGUCUCCCAAGGAUGGGGUAGGAAGUGCUGUAAUGUUAAUGACCUCCAGCCAGUGCCUCCUUCUUCCCAUGCUAAAUGCCAUUUUAACACAGCUUCUAUAGGAUAGGUUGGAGAGGGGGGCAGCUGUACAUUUAAUACUGCCAUACUUACUGGAGGUGUGAGUCUCAUCUUUGUGCCUGCUGUAUUUGAUAAGUGUUAGCAUUGGGAGUAUCUCUUCCAUUUGUGCUUUUUAUGGUCAUAAAUUGAGACUCUAACACAUCUUUUAUCAUGAACUAGGGCUUGUGCUCCUUUGGACCAUGGCUUUGGAGGUAUCUCCAAGGAAGUUUCCAGUGUGGCUGUGGGCCCUGCUGGCUUUUUUUUUCUUUGCAUCUCUUUCUUGCCUUUUUCUCCUUUAAACUUCUUCCUGUUCUCUUUUAGUUGUCAUUAUGGAGGUGGGGUUUUUCUCUCCCCUUUUGAAAGCUUUAAUUUCCACAAAGAUUUUAUAUGGUGUUUUUGUCAUUGUAAGAAUGUAAAGAGUAACUGCUAUCAAGUUGGUCUCCUGUGGACUUCAGUGUUUAAUGCAAGUAGUCUGCUUGCCCUUGGCUGCUAGCCUUGGCUCCCCUCCCCAAGGGUGCUGAGCUCUGAGCAGUAUCCCCAAUGCAUCUGAUUUAGUAGAUCUGCCACCUGCACAAUAGAGUUAAGAGCAGACGUUCCCCAAUUCCUAAUUAAACUGACAAAAGCAUUUUGUCCUACAGUCUUGUCCCUCCAAAUGGGAAGAGAAACCCAAAGCCACAACGUGGUUGUGAGUGCCUGCUCUCAUGAGCUUACACGCUUGCCACAGCUGGAGAAAAUGGUGCAGCAAAAAGUGGCAACGGCAGCUCUUGGGAUGAGCUGACAUCUGCCAGGAGGAACGUGGUUUGGCAGCUUCCACAGCACGAGGGCUGCUUUUCCCCACUGCGCACUCUAACGCAGACCCGCUUUCCCUGUCAUCCUUUGCUCAGUAAUGAGGAUGGUAAUUGGUCUUUAUUGGCCAGAGAUUUCAGUAGUUGUGAGUGACUUUCUGAGACCAAUCUUGCUUUUUUUUUUCUUUUCACUUUCCUUCAUUUAAUAAAAAAAUAGCAGCCUCCUUUCA
Molecule: long non-coding RNA, 2812 nt
Filed under: Coturnix japonica (Japanese quail)
Lineage: Eukaryota; Metazoa; Chordata; Aves; Galliformes; Phasianidae
Description: lncRNA (ENSCJPG00005013842.1)
Source: RNAcentral